AACGAAUGCUGGCGGCAGGCCUAACACAUGCAAGUCGAACGCCGUAGCAAUACGGAGUGGCAGACGGGUGAGUAACACGUGGGAACGUACCCUUCGGUUCGGAAUAACUCAGGGAAACUUGAGCUAAUACCGGAUACGUCCGAGAGGAGAAAGUAUUUAUCGCCGAGGGAUCCGGCCCGCGUCUGAUUAGCUUGUUGGUGAGGUAACGGCUCACCAAGGCGACGAUCCGUAGCCGGCCUGAGGAGGGCGGUCGGCCACACUGGCACUGACAC
RNAcentral lists this ribosomal RNA (272 nucleotides) under uncultured bacterium. RNAcentral's name for it is "partial 16S ribosomal RNA". It matches the Rfam family "Bacterial small subunit ribosomal RNA", at positions 29 to 325 of the family's 1533-position model. The record is from RNAcentral.